RNAcentral lists this ribosomal RNA (486 nucleotides) under uncultured bacterium. Its description in RNAcentral is "partial 16S ribosomal RNA". It matches the Rfam family "Bacterial small subunit ribosomal RNA", at positions 30 to 507 of the family's 1533-position model. The record is from RNAcentral.
AUUGAACGCUGGCGGCAUGCCUUACACAUGCAAGUCGAACGGCAGCACGGGUGCUUGCCCCUGGUGGCGAGUGGCGAACGGGUGAGUAAUACAUCGGAACAUGUCCUGUAGUGGGGGAUAGCCCGGCGAAAGCCGGAUUAAUACCGCAUACGAUCUACGGAUGAAAGCGGGGGCCCUUCUGGCCUAGCGCUAUAGGGUUGGCCGAUGGCUGAUUAGCUAGUUGGUGGGGUAAAGGCCUACCAAGGCGACGAUCAGUAGCUGGUCUGAGAGGACGACCAGCCACACUGGGACUGAGACACGGCCCAGACUCCUACGGGAGGCAGCAGUGGGGAAUUUUGGACAAUGGGCGAAAGCCUGAUCCAGCAAUGCCGCGUGUGUGAAGAAGGCCUUCGGGUUGUAAAGCACUUUUGUCCGGAAAGAAAUCCUUGGCCCUAAUACGGUCGGGGGAUGACGGUACCGGAAGAAUAAGCACCGGCUAACUACGUG